Molecule: non-coding RNA, 144 nt
Organism: Erythranthe guttata (spotted monkey flower)
Lineage: Eukaryota; Viridiplantae; Streptophyta; Magnoliopsida; Lamiales; Phrymaceae
Source: RefSeq, a predicted model, not a curated record
AAUGAAAAGGCCAAUCGAUAUAUACUUCAAGACCCUUUAAAUUGCUCUUGCCUCGUUUUCACUCGGUAGUGAGAUUCAAUACCUUCUUCGAACAAAGUGCUUUUUUCUUCUUCUGCAUCGUUGCUUCUUCUGUGCCGUUGCUCG